AUGCUCCCCUCCCCCCGCCCGCUCUCUGUCUCUCUCUCCGCAUCUCUCUGGCGUGUGUGCCCGCUGGGCCGGAUGCUCUUUAAAAACGUGGAUCAGAACAGAGGAGUCCAGAGGAGAAGGUCAACGGGGGAUUGGGGGGCUGCGGGGGGGCCUGCCUGUCCCCGGAGGCGGCUCUGGGAGAGGGGGUGCCCCCAGCCGGGGCAGGGGGAGCACCGAGGAUCAGGGUGGAGCUCGGGAGAGAUGAACCUCAUGACAAGGCGACACUGUGCAGAACCAACCCCCUCUCCCCUCCCGCAGCCCCAGGCCCUGCGUCCCCAAAUUACAGCUAACGGGGGGCCAGGGGGAGGCUUGGCUGGCUCUGGCAGGGGAUCCCGAAACCCUCCUGUGGCUAGGGGUGCCCAGGAGAGCACCCCCAAAUUGGCUGGCAGCACAUGCAGGCUUAUUCCAGCCCCCCCCCGUCUCCUCCACUAUGAGCAACUCUGGAAGUGGCGGAGACACCCCCAAAAGCCUUGGAAAGGGGGCAGACCCCUCCCCCACCCUGGUUUUGCCAGCAAAGUCCUCCCCAUUGGCGCUCCCCAACCCAUGCCCUGCCCCAUGCUGGCCGAGCUACCCCCCUGGGACCCCCACCUGCCCAUCACGCCACAGAGCACCCCGCCAUGCUACCUCUUUCUUCUCCUCGUCCUCAGGCCCCCCGUCGGGGAGCUCGUUGGGGCCGGGGGGCUGAGCAGUGGGGCCGGUCGGGGGGCUAGUGCCAGCCUGGCGGGGCUCCAACUCCAUAGGCACCUCCUCCUUCUCCUCCUGGCUACUGGGAGGAAAUGGGGCGUUACUGGGGGGUGGGUGCCCUAUAUCCCUUCACUCGCUCAUCCCAAAGCCACUUCACCCCCACCCCAUCACACCCCCCAAAGCCCCAGCCCUCCUAUCACACCCCCAGCCCCUGCAACCCCAGCUCUCCCUACUCCCCCGAACUCCAUUCUUCACCCCCACCCCAUCACACGCCCAGACCCUGCACCUCCUGCUCUCCCUGCCCCCCAAACCCCAGCCCCUGCACCC
Molecule: long non-coding RNA, 1050 nt
Filed under: Gopherus evgoodei (Goodes thornscrub tortoise)
Lineage: Eukaryota; Metazoa; Chordata; Testudines; Testudinidae
Description: lncRNA (ENSGEVG00005019006.1)
Source: RNAcentral